UACGAAGGGGGCUAGCGUUGCUCGGAAUCACUGGGCGUAAAGGGUGCGUAGGCGGCCGUGCGAGUCUGGCGUGAAAGCCCCGGGCUCAGCCCGGGAAGUGCGCUCGAAACUGCACGGCUCGAGUGCCGGAGGGGAGAGUGGAAUUCCUGGUGUAGCGGUGAAAUGCGUAGAUAUCAGGAGGAAUACCGGUGGCGAAAGCGACUCUCUGGACGGCAACUGACGCUGAGGCACGAAAGCGUGGGGAGCAAACAGG
This 253-nucleotide ribosomal RNA is filed under the name uncultured bacterium. RNAcentral describes it as "partial 16S ribosomal RNA". It matches the Rfam family "Bacterial small subunit ribosomal RNA", at positions 524 to 776 of the family's 1533-position model. The record is from RNAcentral.